This is a non-coding RNA of Vigna angularis (adzuki bean), 107 nucleotides long. The record is from Rfam. NCBI's taxonomy places the organism in Eukaryota, Viridiplantae, Streptophyta, Magnoliopsida, Fabales, Fabaceae.
AUAUGGUGGUGUGGGCAACUUCCACAUAGCUUCUUGAAUCUUUUCCAAUAUUCAUACAAGCUUUCACCACCUAGCUGCCUGAUUCUAGAAAUAUCUUUCCUUAUGGU